GGCCGCCGCAGCCCCCCGAGGAAUCGCAGCCACCUCAGUCCCAGGCGCAAGUGCCACCGGCGGCCCCUCACCACCAUCACCACCAUUCGCACUCGGGGCCAGAGAUCUCGCGGAUUAUCGUCGACCCCACGACGGGGAAGCGCUACUGCCGGGGCAAAGUGCUGGGAAAGGGUGGCUUUGCAAAAUGUUACGAGAUGACAGAUUUGACAAAUAACAAAGUCUACGCCGCAAAAAUUAUUCCUCACAGCAGAGUAGCUAAACCUCAUCAAAGGGAAAAGAUUGACAAAGAAAUAGAGCUUCACAGAAUUCUUCAUCAUAAGCAUGUAGUGCAGUUUUACCACUACUUCGAGGACAAAGAAAACAUUUACAUUCUCUUGGAAUACUGCAGUAGAAGGGUAAGUGUCAACUCCUAUUUGAGAACAUUUGCUUACCGCGAAUUAACAUGGUAUUCAAAGAGUAUUUUAUCUGGGAUUUUAGCUGUGGCAGCACUUACACUGCAAAGUUAACUUUCAUUGCUCAUCCUGCAAAGGGAAACCAGUGAUUUUGAUAACUGUUUUGACAGAUUCUCUUUUUUCCUUCUCCUCUUCCUAGUCAAUGGCUCAUAUUUUGAAAGCAAGAAAGGUGUUGACAGAGCCAGAAGUUCGAUACUACCUCAGGCAGAUUGUGUCUGGACUGAAAUACCUUCAUGAACAAGAAAUCUUGCACAGAGAUCUCAAACUAGGUAAGUCAUUGACGCCAAAAGCUGAGUUUUGUGCUAGAGUUCUUUUUUCUCUCUCUGUUUUUUUUUACAUAUUAAUGUUCUUAAUUGGGAUCUGGUGUCUGC
Molecule: small RNA, 823 nt
Filed under: Pan troglodytes (chimpanzee)
Lineage: Eukaryota; Metazoa; Chordata; Mammalia; Primates; Hominidae
Description: retained intron
Source: RNAcentral